GGGUGAGUAACACGUGGGUAACCUGCCCAAGAGACUGGGAUAACACCUGGAAACAGAUGCUAAUACCGGAUAACAACACUAGACGCAUGUCUAGAGUUUGAAAGAUGGUUCUGCUAUCACUCUUGGAUGGACCUGCGGUGCAUUAGCUAGUUGGUAAGGUAACGGCUUACCAAGGCAAUGAUGCAUAGCCGAGUUGAGAGACUGAUCGGCCACAUUGGGACUGAGACACGGCCCAAACUCCUACGGGAGGCAGCAGUAGGGAAUCUUCCACAAUGGACGAAAGUCUGAUGGAGCAACGCCGCGUGAGUGAAGAAGGGUUUCGGCUCGUAAAGCUCUGUUGGUAGUGAAGAAAGAUAGAGGUAGUAACUGGCCUUUAUUUGACGGUAAUUACUUAGAAAGUCACGGCUAACUACGUGCCAGCAGCCGCGGUAAUACGUAGGUGGCAAGCGUUGUCCGGAUUUAUUGGGCGUAAAGCGAGUGCAGGCGGUUCAAUAAGUCUGAUGUGAAAGCCUUCGGCUCAACCGGAGAAUUGCAUCAGAAACUGUUGAACUUGAGUGCAGAAGAGGAGAGUGGAACUCCAUGUGUAGCGGUGGAAUGCGUAGAUAUAUGGAAGAACACCAGUGGCGAAGGCGGCUCUCUGGUCUGCAACUGACGCUGAGGCUCGAAAGCAUGGGUAGCGAACAGGAUUAGAUGCCCUGGUAGUCCAUGCCGUAAACGAU
Molecule: ribosomal RNA, 719 nt
Filed under: uncultured bacterium
Lineage: Bacteria
Description: bacterial SSU rRNA
Rfam family: Bacterial small subunit ribosomal RNA
Source: RNAcentral